GGCGUGGGCGCAGCUACACAUGCAGUCGAGCGGAUGACGGGAGCUUGCUCCUUGAUUCAGCGGCGGACGGGUGAGUAAUGCCUAGGAAUCUGCCUGGUAGUGGGGGACAACGUUUCGAAAGGAACGCUAAUACCGCAUACGUCCUACGGGAGAAAGCAGGGGACCUUCGGGCCUUGCGCUAUCAGAUGAGCCUAGGUCGGAUUAGCUAGUUGGUGAGGUAAUGGCUCACCAAGGCGACGAUCCGUAACUGGUCUGAGAGGAUGAUCAGUCACACUGGAACUGAGACACGGUCCAGACUCCUACGGGAGGCAGCAGUGGGGAAUAUUGGACAAUGGGCGAAAGCCUGAUCCAGCCAUGCCGCGUGUGUGAAGAAGGUCUUCGGAUUGUAAAGCACUUUAAGUUGGGAGGAAGGGCAGUAAGCUAAUACCUUGCUGUUUUGACGUUACCGACAGAAUAAGCACCGGCUAACUCUGUGCCAGCAGCCGCGGUAAUACAGAGGGUGCAAGCGUUAAUCGGAAUUACUGGGCGUAAAGCGCGCGUAGGUGGUUCGUUAAGUUGGAUGUGAAAGCCCCGGGCUCAACCUGGGAACUGCAUCCAAAACUGGCGAGCUAGAGUACGGUAGAGGGUGGUGGAAUUUCCUGUGUAGCGGUGAAAUGCGUAGAUAUAAGAAGGAACACCACUGGCGAAGGCGGGCACCUGG
RNAcentral lists this ribosomal RNA (700 nucleotides) under Pseudomonas monteilii. Its description in RNAcentral is "bacterial SSU rRNA". It matches the Rfam family "Bacterial small subunit ribosomal RNA", at positions 38 to 732 of the family's 1533-position model. The record is from RNAcentral. Lineage: Bacteria; Pseudomonadati; Pseudomonadota; Gammaproteobacteria; Pseudomonadales; Pseudomonadaceae.